CCAAUAGCGUAUAUUAAAGUUGUUGCAGUUAAAAAGCUCGUAGUUGAAUUUUGGAUUCUACCAAUCGGUCCAUCUUUUGAUGAGUACUGGUUGUGUGGGGUCUAUCCGCCUGGUGAUACGUAAUGUCCUUUAUUGGAUGUUGCGGGUAGUCAGGACCUUUACCUUGAAAAAAUUAGAGUGUUUAAAGCAGGCUUAUGCCGGAAUACAUUAGCAUGGAAUAAUAGAAUAGGACGAAGUUGUUUUAUUUUGUUGGUUUCUAGGACAACCGUAAUGAUUAAUAGGGAUAGUUGGGGGCAUUAGUAUUCAAUUGUCAGAGGUGAAAUUCUUGGAUUUAUUGAAGACUAACUAUUGCGAAAGCAUUUGCCAAGGAUGUUUUCAUUAAUCAAGAACGAAAGUUAGGGGAUCGAAGACGAUCAGAUACCGUCGUAGUCUUAACCAUAAACUAUGCCGACUAGGGAUCGGGCGAUGUUGUUUCAAUGACUCGCUCGGCACCUUAUG
This 498-nucleotide unclassified non-coding RNA is filed under the name uncultured Archaeospora. Its description in RNAcentral is "SSU rRNA". It matches the Rfam family "Eukaryotic small subunit ribosomal RNA", at positions 591 to 1092 of the family's 1831-position model. Lineage: Eukaryota; Fungi; Glomeromycota; Glomeromycetes; Archaeosporales; Archaeosporaceae. The record is from RNAcentral.